UCACUAUUGGAGCGGCCGAUAUCGGAUUAGCUGGUUGGUGGGGUAAAGGCCUACCAAGGCGACGAUCCGUAGCUGGUUUGAGAGGACGACCAGCCACACUGGGACUGAGACACGGCCCAG
Molecule: ribosomal RNA, 120 nt
Filed under: uncultured bacterium
Lineage: Bacteria
Description: partial 16S ribosomal RNA
Rfam family: Bacterial small subunit ribosomal RNA
Source: RNAcentral